GGGUGAGUAAUGCUUGGGAACAUGCCUUGAGGUGGGGGACAACAGUUGGAAACGACUGCUAAUACCGCAUAAUGUCUACGGACCAAAGGGGGCUUCGGCUCUCGCCUUUAGAUUGGCCCAAGUGGGAUUAGCUAGUUGGUGAGGUAAUGGCUCACCAAGGCGACGAUCCCUAGCUGGUUUGAGAGGAUGAUCAGCCACACUGGGACUGAGACACGGCCCAGACUCCUACGGGAGGCAGCAGUGGGGAAUAUUGCACAAUGGGCGCAAGCCUGAUGCAGCCAUGCCGCGUGUGUGAAGAAGGCCUUCGGGUUGUAAAGCACUUUCAGUCAGGAGGAAAGGUUAGUAGUUAAUACCUGCUAGCUGUGACGUUACUGACAGAAGAAGCACCGGCUAACUCCGUGCCAGCAGCCGCGGUAAUACGGAGGGUGCGAGCGUUAAUCGGAAUUACUGGGCGUAAAGCGUACGCAGGCGGUUUGUUAAGCGAGAUGUGAAA
This 493-nucleotide ribosomal RNA is filed under the name Pseudoalteromonas sp. 2138. Its description in RNAcentral is "bacterial SSU rRNA". It matches the Rfam family "Bacterial small subunit ribosomal RNA", at positions 104 to 599 of the family's 1533-position model. The record is from RNAcentral. Lineage: Bacteria; Pseudomonadati; Pseudomonadota; Gammaproteobacteria; Alteromonadales; Pseudoalteromonadaceae.